GCCACCAAAGUAGGUCUAGGGUGAAGCCGAAUCUGCUCUUCCCUCCAAUCUCCCUUACCCACCCCUUGCGCCCUUGCUUCCCUUCAUCCUUGGCCCCCGAGCGCAUGCGAGUGAAGUGCCUCGUGACACUCAGGAUGGGCAACAAGAAACAAGUGGAGAAGGGGAAGAAGGAGGAUCAGGAGAAAGCCCGUGAGGUCACCAGUGACUAGUCUUACAAAGAAUUGUCGACUGAAGGAGCGCUGAUGUGUGUCAAGCGUGUACUACUUGAUGUAGACGCUGUGCCCUUCGUUCCAACACUCUUUUCUGCCAGUAAUCCUCCUCCUCCCGACCACACUGCUUUGUAUAGGAGUUCUCCUCCUCUGCCAGAAGCCAUUCAGCUAGAUCACACCAAGCUAAGUCAGAAGACCUCACAAGAAGUCGAGGUGACUUCUGUUGGUGAUUCCUUACCCAGCCAUCCCAAGGGGCCAAGGAUUGUCAGGAAACGCAAUGCAGACAUUGCUUCAUCUAAUGAUAGUCCUUCUAUUUCUCCAACCCUAAGCACUCGAAGCUUAGUGUUAAAGAACAAGCUGUCGGGGAUGAUGCUACAACAGGUAGACUCAAGUCUGCUGUUGUUGUAGACCCAUCCUCCCAAAGCAUUGGAGCUCCUCCGCCUCAGUCCAUAAUUCCUGAUGCCAUCCCAUUGGACCCUGCUGCUACAUAAAGCUCGACGCCUAGGGUGACUGAACCCAUAGCUGAAGCACCGGCAGCAGCGGGGACCAUGGUGGCCGUCAUGAAGCCGAAAGCUUUAAGAGUGAAGAAGCUUGCUGUCAGGAGAUCCGUCUUGACUUCUUCACCUCUGGGCUUGGACGAGUCUAAGCCAACCUCAUCUAGUCCAGCCCCCGAGAUGGAAAAAGGGCCAAAAACUGCAACAUUAAUGGCUGGUGCCGAGGCUGAGUAAACACUUCCAGAGCCAAGUUCACCAGUCGAGUAUCCCGCCGAAGAUGUUGCUGCCAACAAGACUUCAUCUGCAGAGCCUGCAGGUGAAAACUUUUGCCUUCCUCAAUCUUGAGUACUUUUUCUUCUGCUAGUCCAUUAUAGCCUGUUGGUAGCUGCCGCAGAGCAACAAGCUGAAGGUGCUGAGGGGGGCCAACACCUAGUCUCCUGGUUCUUGCCCCAAAGUCCAAGUACACAAUUACUACUGAGAUGUUGAAUGAUCCAUCAGUCUCUGAUGUCACUUUAAGGGAGUUCCAGAAGACCUUCAUGAAUAUGUACCAAUAUAUAACAAUAUGUUCCUUAUGCCCAAUCCAGCCUUAUCGACUUGUUGUCUUGCUUGAAACUGACUGAAUUUUAAAACCGCAGAUCAAGGCCAAUCUCUCCAGGAAGAAAUUUGAUGUGCUAGGAGUAGUAACUGAAGACUCUCGCAUUCUUUUGGCCAAGGAGGAGCAGAUUUGAGAGAAGAUUCGACUAAAUGUCGAUCUUCGUAAUGAGCUCGAUCAAGUCAAGGCUGAGCGGACGAGGGAAACCUUGCUACUGAAGAAAUAAAUCGAGAACUUGAUGAAGGAAAACCUUGAUCUUUAUGACAAAGUGAAGUCUGUGACCAAGGCGCAUUGAGAUGACGUGGAGUGUUUGGAGAAGAGACUUGCUGGAUAUGAUCAAUAGCUUCUCGACAACCUCCAACAGGUCAAGUCGAUGUCUGAAGAAAAAACUGUCAUGGCCAAGAAGAUUGAGGACCUGGAGCAAGCCGCAAGGGCAGUAGUCGACAUGGUGGAUCUUGUAGAGGAGCAGGCAGCCGAUGAGAGGUCUCUACUGGAGCAGCUUCGUGGAGCACCAGCUAUGUCUCUGAGGCUACCAAGACCUAUGUUGCUCAUGUGCUUGGUUUGUUCAAGUCCUUCUGGCCGAAACCUGACCUUGAUCGACUAUCUGCUGGGAUGGCUGCUGACUGCACUAAAGAAAAACUUGAAGAAUAUCUUGUGCAAGUGGAGCCAAUUGCGCAGAAGAUUAUUGAGAACUUAGUGCAGGAGUAGUUUUAUGGUCAUGCCACAAAAUGAUUGCUCUUGAAUUGUAAUAUUUGUGUGAAUACUCUUUCUUUGCCUAUCAAGUUGCUUUUGGAUUCUUACUUCCUGUGAGUAGAACUCGAGUAGACCUAGGUCUUACAAGAAUAAGUAGUUUUGG
Molecule: long non-coding RNA, 2151 nt
Organism: Panicum virgatum (switchgrass)
Lineage: Eukaryota; Viridiplantae; Streptophyta; Magnoliopsida; Poales; Poaceae
Exons: 7
Source: RefSeq, a predicted model, not a curated record